RNAcentral lists this non-coding RNA (388 nucleotides) under Streptomyces afghaniensis 772. RNAcentral's name for it is "Bacterial small subunit ribosomal RNA". It matches the Rfam family "Bacterial small subunit ribosomal RNA", at positions 58 to 449 of the family's 1533-position model. The record is from Rfam by way of RNAcentral. Lineage: Bacteria; Bacillati; Actinomycetota; Actinomycetes; Kitasatosporales; Streptomycetaceae.
CAAGUCGAACGAUGAACCACUUCGUGGGGAUUAGUGGCGAACGGGUGAGUAACACGUGGGCAAUCUGCCCUGCACUCUGGGACAAGCCCUGGAAACGGGGUCUAAUACCGGAUACAACCACUAGGGGCAUCGUCUUGGUGGUGGAAAGCUCCGGCGGUGCAGGAUGAGCCCGCGGCCUAUCAGCUUGUUGGUGAGGUAAUGGCUCACCAAGGCGACGACGGGUAGCCGGCCUGAGAGGGCGACCGGCCACACUGGGACUGAGACACGGCCCAGACUCCUACGGGAGGCAGCAGUGGGGAAUAUUGCACAAUGGGCGAAAGCCUGAUGCAGCGACGCCGCGUGAGGGAUGACGGCCUUCGGGUUGUAAACCUCUUUCAGCAGGGAAGAA